Molecule: long non-coding RNA, 1235 nt
Organism: Folsomia candida
Lineage: Eukaryota; Metazoa; Arthropoda; Collembola; Entomobryomorpha; Isotomidae
Exons: 3
Source: RefSeq, a predicted model, not a curated record
GUACAUGCUGUCCUAAUAUUAUAAUGUUACAUACAUGUGUUUGUAGACACUAAUUAAGUGCAUGGCAAAAAAACCGGCGCAAAUUGUCUCCGGGCGUGCAUAUGUGCGCGCGGUGAUAAAAUUGACACCAGUAGGUGAAUUUUAAUUUCUUUAAUCUUCAUUGAGUAAAAUUCCAUCAAAAUUUUCUAGUCUUUUAAUAUGCUGGAUAACAUUUAGAUAACUCCGACUCGGGUCUUGCGCAAUGCUUGCAAAUUGAUCACAGUCAUACGGUGAGCCAUGAUUGUACUUAACAGUUGCUGUUAUGCGAUCCCGAUCCGCCCAUCAUUUACCCCAGAAGGAUGUUUAAUAUCUGAUAAAUCGAGAAAAAAUUACGAAGUUCAGGAAAGUAGAAAAACUUUCUGAAAUUUUGAUUACCCCGUCAGUUUUUAGUGAAAAGUGUGGAUGUCUGGAUGGGAAAUGUGCGUGGUAGACAUGUCCAAGGUCAAUCGAAGAGUCAUUAUCAUUAUCACCUUUGAAAAACUACCCAUUACUGAACCCCCGAAAAGUGUACCUUUGGUGGCUAAUUAAACGGCGUAAAAUAUACAGGAUUGUCUAACGGACACAAAUUGGGAUCACUAUUUGGGUCCAGAUAAUCCCGAAGUAUGAGACACGCCGUUUUCUCUGCGGCAAGUUGCGUGGGAGCGUUUGGAUUUCCGUUCGUCGAUGUUGGAAGAACGCUGGCAUCAAUAACGCGUAAUCGUGAGACUCCACGCACCCUGUCUAUUUUUGAGCUGACUUUAAGUCCGAGGCGACCACGGCGAGUGGAUCAUCUCUUCUUCCCAUUACACAAGUUCCAGACAAAUGCCACGAUGUUCUCGAUGUUUGCACGAUGUAGCACUUCCAGUAGUCGUCCGAGUCAAAAGGAUAGAAUUUACAGGCCUCUGGAACUUCGGGUCUAUACCUCAAACCCAACGGUUGAAAUGCAGCAGUCUUGCUAAUACUGAAAACCAUGCGAAUACAUAACAAAGUUUAUCGCAAUAUUAGCAAUAUCUACAUGGGUAUUUCAUCCUUGGCACCUUUUCGUGUAAUAAAUUUGAUUUUAUAAUGUAAUGCCCACCCUCGAGCAGGACAUCCAUAUCGGUUGGAUCCGUAAAUAUCCCCAAGUCAAGGCUGACCAAUUUCUCAUCGUCCACUUCCCCCGCAGCAUACAUUUCCGUAUUCAGAAAGACACACCCUCUUGAUUUUGGUCUCCCAAA